CACGUGGAGUAAAAAGAUGGAAAAAAACUCUCCGGUCUCGGGUACGGACCUGGAAUUAUAAACUAAAAGGUGUUUCCCUAUUUAAUAUAUGCAAGGAAGGCGUUCCGUUCUUUGACCAAUUAGAAACUUCCUCAA
Molecule: long non-coding RNA, 135 nt
Organism: Xiphophorus hellerii (green swordtail)
Lineage: Eukaryota; Metazoa; Chordata; Actinopteri; Cyprinodontiformes; Poeciliidae
Exons: 3
Source: RefSeq, a predicted model, not a curated record